RNAcentral lists this ribosomal RNA (134 nucleotides) under uncultured bacterium. Its description in RNAcentral is "partial 16S ribosomal RNA". It matches the Rfam family "Bacterial small subunit ribosomal RNA", at positions 1369 to 1501 of the family's 1533-position model. The record is from RNAcentral.
CGUUCCCGGGCCUUGUACACACCGCCCGUCACACCACGAAAGUGGGCAACACCCGAAGCCGGUGGCCCAACCCUUGUGGAGGGAGCCGUCGAAGGUGGGGCUCGCGAUUGGGGUGAAGUCGUAACAAGGUACCC